RNAcentral lists this ribosomal RNA (444 nucleotides) under uncultured bacterium. RNAcentral describes it as "bacterial SSU rRNA". It matches the Rfam family "Bacterial small subunit ribosomal RNA", at positions 28 to 451 of the family's 1533-position model. The record is from RNAcentral.
GACGAACGCUGGCGGCGUGCCUAACACAUGCAAGUCGAACGGGGUUAAUUUGGAAGUACCUUCGGGUGCGGAAUUAUUAACUUAGUGGCGAACGGGUGAGUAACGCGUGAGAAACCUGCCCUUUCAGUGGGGGACAACAGUUGGAAACGACUGCUAAUACCGCAUAAUGUAUUUAGGGGGCAUCCCCUGAAUACCAAAGCUUAAUGUGCUGAAAGAUGGUCUCGCGUCUGAUUAGCUUGUUGGCGGGGUAACGGGCCCACCAAGGCGACGAUCAGUAGCCGGUCUGAGAGGAUGAACGGCCACAUUGGGACUGAGAUACGGCCCAGACUCCUACGGGAGGCAGCAGUGGGGAAUAUUGGGCAAUGGGGGAAACCCUGACCCAGCAACGCCGCGUGAAGGAAGAAGGCUUUCGGGCUGUAAACUUCUUUUAGUCAGGGACGAAGG